UGGGUCAUUAUGGGUCUCUAUGGGUCGCUCUGGCUCUGGUUAUGGGUCCCUAUGGGUCGCUAUGGGUCUCUAUGGGUCUCUAUGGGUCUCUAUGUGUCUCUAUGGGUCCCUAUGGGUCCCUAUGGGUCUCUAUGGGUCCCAGUGCUUUUCUAUGGGUCUCGAUGGGUCUCUGUGGGUCGCUAUGGGUCGCAGUGGGUCUCUAUGGGUUGCAGUGGGUCGCUCUGGGUCUGGUUAUGGGUCGCUAUGGGUCGCAGUGGGUCUCUAUGGGUCGCGGUGGGUCGCUAUGGGUCUGGUUAUGGGUCCCUAUGGGUCGCAGUGGGUUGCUAUGGGUCUGGUUAUGGGUCUCUAUGGGUCCCUAUGUGUCUCUAUGUGUCCCUAUGGGUCGCUAUGGGUCCCUAUGGGUCGCUAUGGGUCGCAGUGGGUUGCUAUGGGUCUGGUUAUGGGUCUCUAUGGGUCCCUAUGUGUCCCUAUGUGUCUCUAUGGGUCGCUAUGGGUCUCUCUCUAUCGGUCUCUAUGGGUUGCUAUGGGUCUCUAUGGGUCGCUAUGGGUCUCUAUGGGUCUCUAUGGGUCGCUAUGGGUCACUAUGGGUCCCUAUGGGUCUGGUUAUGUGUCGCUAUGGGUCCCAGUGGGUCUCUCUGGGUCUGGUUAUGUGUCGCUAUGGGUCCCAGUGGGUCUCUCUGGGUCUGGUUAUGGGUCUCUAUGGGUCGCAGUGGGUCUCUAUGGGUCCCUAUGGGUCGCUAUGGGUCCCUAUGGGUCGCUAUGGGUCGCAGUGGGUUGCUAUGGGUCUGGUUAUGGGUCUCUAUGGGUCUCUAUGGGUCCCUAUGUGUCUCUAUGUGUCUCUAUGGGUCGCUAUGGGUCGCUAUGGGUCCCUAUGGGUCCCUAUGGGUCUCUAUGGGUCUCUAUGGGUCGCUAUGGGUCGCUAUGGGUCGCUAUGGGUCCCUAUGGGUCUCUAUGGGUCGCAGUGGGUCUCUAUGGGUCGCAGUGGGGCUGACCAGCGCAGGUCCCUGAGCAGCUCCCAGUGCCGCGCGCUGUGGGGCCGGGCCUGGGGGGCGGAGCUCAGCGCCUCCAAAGUCUCCGCCCACGUCGGGGUGGCCCCGCCCCCCAGGCGAAGCCCCGCCCCCAGCAGCUCCAGCAGC
RNAcentral lists this long non-coding RNA (1136 nucleotides) under Numida meleagris (helmeted guineafowl). RNAcentral's name for it is "lncRNA (ENSNMEG00000002286.1)". Lineage: Eukaryota; Metazoa; Chordata; Aves; Galliformes; Numididae. The record is from RNAcentral.